Molecule: non-coding RNA, 53 nt
Filed under: Trypanosoma brucei brucei
Lineage: Eukaryota; Euglenozoa; Kinetoplastea; Trypanosomatida; Trypanosomatidae
Source: RNAcentral
AUAUAUAUAAAAUUAUAGUAUUCUAGGUUGUAGUUUAUAGUUAUGAUUAAUCU